RNAcentral lists this long non-coding RNA (271 nucleotides) under Sus scrofa (pig). RNAcentral's name for it is "lncRNA (ENSSSCG00060059147.1)". Lineage: Eukaryota; Metazoa; Chordata; Mammalia; Artiodactyla; Suidae. The record is from RNAcentral.
GGACCAGACCCAGUGGCCACAACCAGGACCCUUUGGUCCCUGGACUCCUCUUCAUGUGGACAACUGGCCAGAGUGCCCUGACUGGAGUAUUGGUGAAGAUUAAUGCAAUUUGAAGAACUUCGAAAAGAAGAAGCAAGCUGUUCGUGUACAGGAUGACUCAACCAGGAAAGUUCAGUGUAUACAACUGGUCACUUAAAGAUUUGUCUUCAAGAAGCAAAAGCAGGCCUGCAAAGUAUCUGAAGCAACUUUGGACAUGAGGAACAUACUACAG